Molecule: long non-coding RNA, 1147 nt
Organism: Acanthopagrus latus (yellowfin seabream)
Lineage: Eukaryota; Metazoa; Chordata; Actinopteri; Spariformes; Sparidae
Exons: 2
Source: RefSeq, a predicted model, not a curated record
UACACUUUCUUGUUUACCGCAUAAUUCCAUGUGUUACUUCAUAGUUGUGACAUCUUCAGUAUUAAUCUACAAUGUAGAAAAUAAUGAAAAACCAUUGAAUAAGAGGGUGUGUCCAAACCUAAUUGUUUCUGUGUUUAAUGUUGCUUUUCAGUGUUGCUGUUAUCAAAAAAGGGUUGAUAAUGCCCCUUAAAACUAACGAGUAAGGAUCCGUUCACACUGGACAUAAAACGACUUUCAAGAUUGUGACCCAUUUGAAUGUCUUUGCAGGCUGUGCCAAGAAGGGCAAUGAAGUUUUUUUUACUCUGAUUUGUGCAGCUGUUUGUACUAAAUUUGUGCAGGCUUGCAUCUCAUGGGUUUAUUAUUACUGUGACCAAUUGCUAACAUUUCUUCUGCUCUGAGUGCAGCCAUUGACACAUACACCCUUGCCAACCCAACCAAUAGCUACUCUAUUUCGACAAUCAUAUGCCGAAGUGGGAACUGUUAUUGAUAGCCAGUUAAGUGUUGCGUUAACACUGGUAGCAUUAGGUCAGCACUAAUGUGAUAGCUGCAGCCAAGACAAAGGGUUAAAGUCUUCGAAAAGCAUGUUCUCUGUUCACUGAAGAUCUGACCCUACCUGCCCUGAAAGGAUCCAUCUCUCAAGUCCAUUGUUUGUCAAUUUAUCAACUCUCAUCUCAUCUCAUUAUCUACUGCCUAAUCCAUGAGGGUCGCAGGGAUGUAACCACUUUAUCCCCCAUUUUUCAAGGGGUCACGACGGUUACUGGAGCCAAUCCCAGUUAUCUCUCUGAGCAAAGGCAGGGUACACCCUGGACAAGUCGCCAGCUCAUCGCAGGGCCCUUACUGAUGGCAAAGGCCACCACGCAAGGUGCCAACUGCACAUCAGGAGCAAUUUUGGGGUUCAGUGUCUUGCUCAAGGAUACUUCAACAUGCAGCUCAGUUCUGCCCCAGGGGAGCCAGGAUUCGAACCAGCAACCUUCAAAUCACUAGUCUACUUACUCUACCCGCUCCCAAUUUAUCAACUCAAACUAGUUAUUCAUUUAUUAGAAUAUUUUUUGUGUUGCACUGGAUUGUUUAUUCUGUGACAUAUCUGAAUUUUGAUUUUGUAUUUUGGUUCCCAAAAAUAUCGCAACACAUUUCAUCUGACUUUAAG